Molecule: ribosomal RNA, 253 nt
Filed under: uncultured bacterium
Lineage: Bacteria
Description: partial 16S ribosomal RNA
Rfam family: Bacterial small subunit ribosomal RNA
Source: RNAcentral
UACGGGGGGAGCAAGCGUUGUUCGGAUUUACUGGGCGUAAAGGGCUCGUAGGCGGUUUGUUGCGUCGGGAGUGAAAACUUCGAGCUUAACUCGGAGCUUGCUUUCGAUACGGGCAGACUUGAGGCAUUCAGGGGAGAACGGAAUUUCUGGUGUAGCGGUGAAAUGCGCAGAUAUCAGAAGGAACACCGGUGGCGAAGGCGGUUCUCUGGGAAUGUUCUGACGCUGAGGAGCGAAAGUGUGGGGAGCGAACAGG